CUAAUUUUUAUUUGUUUUGUGGGUUUGUUUCUUAUUUUCGAUUGGGUUAGAAGGUCAGACCCAUGUUUUAUUUUAGUUGGAUUUGAGUGAUAAAAGACGGCCUGACCUGUGUGUUUUGGCUUGGACUUUUGCCUGGGUUUACGUAGUAUCUGGCCCAAGCGCCUGUUGGGUUAGGAAGACCAGAAAUGAAUUUACUCUUUUGCCCCUAUACUUUUACUUUAUUGUAUUGUGACCCUAAUUACUUUAAGUUUCU
Molecule: long non-coding RNA, 253 nt
Filed under: Coffea arabica (coffee)
Lineage: Eukaryota; Viridiplantae; Streptophyta; Magnoliopsida; Gentianales; Rubiaceae
Description: long non-coding RNA (CARA_LNC000148)
Source: RNAcentral